UGGGGAAUUUUGGACAAUGGGCGCAAGCCUGAUCCAGCCAUGCCGCGUGCGGGAAGAAGGCCUUCGGGUUGUAAACCGCUUUUGUCAGGGAAGAAAUCUUCUGAGUUAAUACCUCGGGAGGAUGACGGUACCUGAAGAAUAAGCACCGGCUAACUACGUACCAGUAGCCGCGGUAAUACGUAGGGUGCAAGCGUUAAUCGGAAUUACUGGGCGUAAAGCGUGCGCAGGCGGUUUUGUAAGACAGAGGUGAAAUCCCCGGGCUCAACCUGGGAACUGCCUUUGUGACUGCAAGGCUUGAGUGCGGCAGAGGGGGCAUGGAAUUCCGCGUGUAGCAGUGAAAUUGCGUAGAUAUGCGGAGGAACACCGAUGGCGAAGGCAAUCCCCUGGGCCUGCACUGACGCUCAUGCACGAAAGCGUGGGGAGCAAACAGGAUUAGAUACCCUGGUAGUCCACGCCCUAAAACGAUGUCAACUGGUUGUUGGGAAGGUUCCUUCUCAGUAACGUAGCUAACGCGUGAA
RNAcentral lists this ribosomal RNA (518 nucleotides) under uncultured bacterium. RNAcentral's name for it is "partial 16S ribosomal RNA". It matches the Rfam family "Bacterial small subunit ribosomal RNA", at positions 355 to 863 of the family's 1533-position model. The record is from RNAcentral.